AUUGAACGCUGGCGGCAGGCCUAACACAUGCAAGUCGAGCGGAUGAAGGGAGCUUGCUCCUGGAUUCAGCGGCGGACGGGUGAGUAAUGCCUAGGAAUCUGCCUGGUAGUGGGGGAUAACGUCCGGAAACGGGCGCUAAUACCGCAUACGUCCUGAGGGAGAAAGUGGGGGAUCUUCGGACCUCACGCUAUCAGAUGAGCCUAGGUCGGAUUAGCUAGUUGGUGGGGUAAAGGCCUACCAAGGCGACGAUCCGUAACUGGUCUGAGAGGAUGAUCAGUCACACUGGAACUGAGACACGGUCCAGACUCCUACGGGGGGCAGCAGUGGGGAAUAUUGGACAAUGGGCGAAAGCCUGAUCCAGCCAUGCCGCGUGUGUGAAGAAGGUCUUCGGAUUGUAAAGCACUUUAAGUUGGGAGGAAGGGCAGUAAGUUAAUACCUUGCUGUUUUGACGUUACCAACAGAAUAAGCACCGGCUAACUUCGUGC
RNAcentral lists this ribosomal RNA (485 nucleotides) under uncultured bacterium. RNAcentral's name for it is "partial 16S ribosomal RNA". It matches the Rfam family "Bacterial small subunit ribosomal RNA", at positions 30 to 508 of the family's 1533-position model. The record is from RNAcentral.